UCUUGCAAACUAAAGAUGGCGACCGGCGCACGGGUGAGUAACACGUAUCCAACCUGCCGAUAACUCGGGGAUAGCCUUUCGAAAGAAAGAUUAAUAUCCGAUAGUAUAUUAAAACCGCAUGGUUUUACUAUUAAAGAAUUUCGGUUAUCGAUGGGGAUGCGUUCCAUUAGUUUGUUGGCGGGGUAACGGCCCACCAAGGCUACGAUGGAUAGGGGUUCUGAGAGGAAGGUCCCCCACAUUGGAACUGAGACACGGUCCAA
Molecule: ribosomal RNA, 260 nt
Filed under: uncultured bacterium
Lineage: Bacteria
Description: partial 16S ribosomal RNA
Rfam family: Bacterial small subunit ribosomal RNA
Source: RNAcentral